RNAcentral lists this ribosomal RNA (262 nucleotides) under uncultured bacterium. RNAcentral describes it as "partial 16S ribosomal RNA". It matches the Rfam family "Bacterial small subunit ribosomal RNA", at positions 524 to 783 of the family's 1533-position model. The record is from RNAcentral.
UACAGAGGUCUCAAGCGUUGUUCGGAUUCAUUGGGCGUAAAGGGUGCGUAGGUGGCGGGGCAAGUUUGGUGUGAAAUCCCGGGGCUCAACCCCGGAACUGCACUGAAUACUGCCUUGCUUGAGCACUGGAGAGGGAACUGGAAUUUACGGUGUAGCAGUGAAAUGCGUAGAUAUCGUAAGGAAGACCAGUGGCGAAGGCGAGUUCCUGGACAGUUGCUGACACUGAGGCACGAAGGCUAGGGGAGCAAACCGGGAGUUAGAA